CCAGGGGGCCGGCCUAUUACAUGCAAGUCGAGCGAACUGACGAGGAGCUUGCUCCUUUGACGUUAGCGGCGGACGGGUGAGUAACACGUGGGUAACCUACCUAUAAGACUGGAAUAACUCCGGGAAACCGGGGCUAAUGCCGGAUAACAUGUUGAACCGCAUGGUUCAACAUUGAAAGGCGGUUUUGCUGUCACUUAUAGAUGGACCUGCGCCGUAUUAGCUAGUUGGUGAGGUAAUGGCUUACCAAGGCGACGAUACGUAGCCGACCUGAGAGGGUGAUCGGCCACACUGGAACUGAGACACGGUCCAGACUCCUACGGGAGGCAGCAGUAGGGAAUCUUCCGCAAUGGACGAAAGUCUGACGGAGCAACGCCGCGUGAGUGAUGAAGGUUUUCGGAUCGUAAAGCUCUGUUAUUAGGGAAGAACAAGUGCGUAGGUAACUAUGCGCACCUUGACGGUACCUAAUCAGAAAGCCACGGCUAACUACGUGCCAGCAGCCGCGGUAAUACGUAGGUGGCAAGCGUUAUCCGGAAUUAUUGGGCGUAAAGCGCGCGUAGGCGGUUUCUUAAGUCUGAUGUGAAAGCCCACGGCUCAACCGUGGAUGGUCAUUGGAAACUGGGGAACUUGAGUGCAGAAGAGGAAAGUGGAAUUCCAUGUGUAGCGGUGAAAUGCGCAGAGAUAUGGAGGAACACCAGUGGCGAAGGCGACUUUCUGGUCUGUAACUGACGCUGAUGUGCGAAAGCGUGGGGAUCAAACAGGAUUAGAUACCCUGGUAGUCCACGCCGUAAACGAUGAGUGCUAAGUGUUAGGGGGUUUCCGCCCCUUAGUGCUGCAGCUAACGCAUUAAGCACUCCGCCUGGGGAGUACGAUCGCAAGAUUGAAACUCAAGGAUUUGACGGGGACCCGCACAAGCGUUGGAGCAUGUGGUUUAUUUCGAAGCAACGCGAAGAACUUAACCAAAUCUUGACAUCCUUUGACCGCUCUAGAGAUAGAGUUUUCCCCUUCGGGGGACAAAGUG
RNAcentral lists this ribosomal RNA (1018 nucleotides) under Staphylococcus sp. A7.2. Its description in RNAcentral is "bacterial SSU rRNA". It matches the Rfam family "Bacterial small subunit ribosomal RNA", at positions 36 to 1033 of the family's 1533-position model. Lineage: Bacteria; Bacillati; Bacillota; Bacilli; Caryophanales; Staphylococcaceae. The record is from RNAcentral.